Molecule: ribosomal RNA, 253 nt
Filed under: uncultured bacterium
Lineage: Bacteria
Description: partial 16S ribosomal RNA
Rfam family: Bacterial small subunit ribosomal RNA
Source: RNAcentral
GACGAACCGUGCAAACGUUGUUCGGAAUCACUGGGCUUAAAGGGCGCGUAGGCGGGUUCGCAAGUCUGUGGUGAAAGCCUCCAGCUUAACUGGAGAAGUGCCGUGGAUACUGCGAAUCUUGAGGAGGGUAGGGGCGUCUGGAACGGUCGGUGGAGCGGUGAAAUGCGUAGAUAUCGUAAGGAAGACCAGUGGCGAAGGCGGGUCUCUGGACAGUUCCUGACGCUCAGGCACGAAGGCCAGGGGAGCAAACGGG